This 497-nucleotide ribosomal RNA is filed under the name uncultured bacterium. Its description in RNAcentral is "partial 16S ribosomal RNA". It matches the Rfam family "Bacterial small subunit ribosomal RNA", at positions 28 to 507 of the family's 1533-position model. The record is from RNAcentral.
GAUGAACGCUGGCGGCGUGCCUAAUACAUGCAAGUCGAGCGAACGGACGAGAAGCUUGCUUCUCUGAUGUUAGCGGCGGACGGGUGAGUAACACGUGGAUAACCUACCUAUAAGACUGGGAUAAUUUCGGGAAACCGGAGCUAAUACCGGAUGAUAUUUUGAACCGCAUGGUUCAAAAGUGAAAGACGGUCUUGCUGUCACUUAUAGAUGGAUCCGCGCUGCAUUAGCUAGUUGGUAAGGUAACGGCUUACCAAGGCAACGAUGCAUAGCCGACCUGAGAGGGUGAUCGGCCACACUGGAACUGAGACACGGUCCAGACUCCUACGGGAGGCAGCAGUAGGGAAUCUUCCGCAAUGGGCGAAAGCCUGACGGAGCAACGCCGCGUGAGUGAUGAAGGUCUUCGGAUCGUAAAGCUCUGUUAUUAGGGAAGAACAUAUGUGUAAGUAACUGUGCACAUCUUGACGGUACCUAAUCAGAAAGCCACGGCUAACUACGUG